RNAcentral lists this long non-coding RNA (346 nucleotides) under Bos taurus (domestic cattle). RNAcentral's name for it is "long non-coding RNA NONBTAT000673". Lineage: Eukaryota; Metazoa; Chordata; Mammalia; Artiodactyla; Bovidae. The record is from RNAcentral.
UACUAUAAUUGAAAACACUUUAGGGAACUGAAUAUGAGAUUUAAUAACACAUACAGUAAGUGCUGAAUGCCCAAACAUUUUUAUCAAGGAAAAAGUGGAAUUUGGAAAAACAGCCACAAAAUCCCCCCUUAGCGUGAAAUUUGAAAUUUCAGCCAUUUUCAAACACGUACACUACUAUUUUACUUAAUAGUAUUCAUGUCUGGCGUAAAUUAGAUGGCCUUUAAAAGCAAGAACCAUGUCUCAGAUAUUUUUGCAUGCCAAAUAGUGUCCAACAUGUACACAAAGAGCCUUUUUUUAAAUCAUACCUCUCCUCUGGUCUUAUCAAAACUACUCUUAAAUGACGUAA